Rhinopithecus roxellana (golden snub-nosed monkey) is the source of this 913-nucleotide RNA transcript. It is a transcript of the gene named short transient receptor potential channel 6 pseudogene, with no coding region annotated. Lineage: Eukaryota; Metazoa; Chordata; Mammalia; Primates; Cercopithecidae. The record is from RefSeq and is a predicted model, not a curated record. The transcript has a single exon.
AAACAUUGGUUACAUUCUUUAUGGAGUCUAUAAUGUUACAAUGGUCAUUGUUUUGCUAAAUAUGUUAAUUGCCAUGAUCAACAGUUCAUUCCAGGAAAUUGAGGAUGACGCCGAUGUGGAGUGGAAAUUUGCAAGAGCCAAACUCUGGUUCUCCUACUUUGAGGAGGGGAGAACACUUCCCGUACCUUUCAAUCUGGUGCCAAGUCCAAAGUCCCUGUUUUAUCUCUUACUGAAGCUUAAAAAAUGGAUUUCUGAGCUGUUCCAGGGUCAUAAAAAAGGUUUCCAGGAAGAUGCAGAGAUGAACAAGAUAAAUGAAGAAAAGAAACUUGGAAUUUUAGGAAGUCAUGAAGACCUUUCAAAAUUAUCACUUGACAAAAAACAGGUUGGGUACAAUAAGCAACCAAGUGUAAGGAGCUCAGAAGAUUUCCGUUUCAGUAGUUUCAAUAAUCCUCCAAGACAGUAUCAGAAAAUAAUGAAAAGGCUCAUUAAGAGAUAUGUACUACAGGCCCAGAUAGAUAAGGAGAGUGACGAAGUGAACGAAGGUGAACUGAAGGAAAUUAAGCAGGACAUCUCAAGUCUCCGCUAUGAACUCCUUGAAGAAAAAUCUCAGAAUACAGAAGACCUAGCAGAACUUAUUAGAGAACUUGGAGAGAAAUUAUCCAUGGAACCAAAUCAAGAGGAAACCAAUAGAUAACGCGAAGACUUCCUUAGAAAUUCAUAUUUAUUUGUCCACUUGAAGCCAUAUUAUUUUCUGAUUUAUUUUCUUAAGUGCCAAUGUGCCCACCUUUUAAACAAGAAGAAGUUAAACGAUACCUUGGGCCAUCCUAUCUUCUGGAGCCCUAGUAUCUAAAUUUUUUGGUGAUUAAACUCCUUUGUUCAGGGUAAAGGCUGCAGAUUAUGAUGAAAAUUAUGU